This 1392-nucleotide ribosomal RNA is filed under the name Staphylococcus pseudintermedius. Its description in RNAcentral is "partial 23S ribosomal RNA". It matches the Rfam family "Bacterial large subunit ribosomal RNA", at positions 1531 to 2925 of the family's 2925-position model. The record is from RNAcentral. Lineage: Bacteria; Bacillati; Bacillota; Bacilli; Caryophanales; Staphylococcaceae.
GUUAGGCAAAUCCGGCACUCUUAAGAUUGAGCUGUGAUGGGGAGAGGAACUUGUUCCUCGAGUCGUUGAUUUCACACUGCCGAGAAAAGCCUCUAGCUAGAAUAACGGUGCCCGUACCGCAAACCGACACAGGUAGUCAAGAUGAGAAUUCUAAGGUGAGCGAGCGAACUCUCGUUAAGGAACUCGGCAAAAUGACCCCGUAACUUCGGGAGAAGGGGUGCUCUUUGAGGUUCACGCUUCGAAGAGCCGCAGUGAAUAGGCCCAAGCGACUGUUUAUCAAAAACACAGGUCUCUGCUAAACCGUAAGGUGACGUAUAGGGGCUGACGCCUGCCCGGUGCUGGAAGGUUAAGAGGAGUGGUUAGCGCAAGCGAAGCUACGAAUCGAAGCCCCAGUAAACGGCGGCCGUAACUAUAACGGUCCUAAGGUAGCGAAAUUCCUUGUCGGGUAAGUUCCGACCCGCACGAAAGGCGUAACGAUUUGGGCACUGUCUCAACGAGAGACUCGGUGAAAUCAUAGUACCGGUGAAGAUGCCGGUUACCCGCGACAGGACGGAAAGACCCCGUGGAGCUUUACUGUAGCCUGAUAUUGAAAUUCGGUACAGUUUGUACAGGAUAGGUAGGAGCCUUAGAAGCGUGAGCGCUAGCUUACGUGGAGGCAUUGGUGGGAUACUACCCUAAUUGUAUUGGAUUUCUAACCCGCAGCACUUAUCGUGCUGGGAGACAGUGUCAGGCGGGCAGUUUGACUGGGGCGGUCGCCUCCUAAAGAGUAACGGAGGCGCUCAAAGGUUCCCUCAGAAUGGUUGGAAAUCAUUCAUAGAGUGUAAAGGCAUAAGGGAGCUUGACUGCGAGACCUACAAGUCGAGCAGGGUCGAAAGACGGACUUAGUGAUCCGGUGGUUCCGCAUGGAAGGGCCAUCGCUCAACGGAUAAAAGCUACCCCGGGGAUAACAGGCUUAUCUCCCCCAAGAGUUCACAUCGACGGGGAGGUUUGGCACCUCGAUGUCGGCUCAUCGCAUCCUGGGGCUGUAGUCGGUCCCAAGGGUUGGGCUGUUCGCCCAUUAAAGCGGUACGCGAGCUGGGUUCAGAACGUCGUGAGACAGUUCGGUCCCUAUCCGUCGUGGGCGUAGGAAAUUUGAGAGGAGCUGUCCUUAGUACGAGAGGACCGGGAUGGACAUACCUCUGGUGUACCAGUUGUCGUGCCAACGGCAUAGCUGGGUAGCUAUGUAUGGACGGGAUAAGUGCUGAAAGCAUCUAAGCAUGAAGCCCCCCUCGAGAUGAGAUUUCCCAACUUCGGUUAUAAGAUCCCUCAAAGAUGAUGAGGUAAAUAGGUUCGAGGUGGAAGCGUAGCGAUACGUGGAGCUGACGAAUACUAAUCGAUCGAAGACUUAAUCAA